This 66-nucleotide transfer RNA is filed under the name Octostigma sinensis. Its description in RNAcentral is "tRNA-Ile". Lineage: Eukaryota; Metazoa; Arthropoda; Diplura; Rhabdura; Octostigmatidae. The record is from RNAcentral.
AAUGAUGUGCCCGAAAAAAGGAUUAUUAUGAUAUAAUAAAACAUACAAACCAGUUUGUCAUCAUUA